UUCCCUUUGUCAUCCUAUGCC
This 21-nucleotide non-coding RNA is filed under the name Cervus elaphus (red deer). The record is from RNAcentral. RNAcentral also lists the same sequence under 1 other name. Lineage: Eukaryota; Metazoa; Chordata; Mammalia; Artiodactyla; Cervidae.